Molecule: ribosomal RNA, 870 nt
Filed under: Agaricus sp. ZRL2012604
Lineage: Eukaryota; Fungi; Basidiomycota; Agaricomycetes; Agaricales; Agaricaceae
Description: eukaryotic LSU rRNA
Rfam family: Eukaryotic large subunit ribosomal RNA
Source: RNAcentral
ACUAACAAGGAUUCCCCUAGUAACUGCGAGUGAAGCGGGAAAAGCUCAAAUUUAAAAUCUGGCGGUCUCUGGCCGUCCGAGUUGUAAUCUAGAGAAGUAAUGCCCGUGCUGGACCGUGUAUAAGUCUCCUGGGAUGGGGCGUCAUAGAGGGUGAGAAUCCCGUCUUUGACACGGACUACCAGUGCAUUGUGGUAUGCUCUCAAAGAGUCGAGUUGUUUGGGAAUGCAGCUCAAAAUGGGUGGUAAAUUCCAUCUAAAGCUAAAUAUUGGCGAGAGACCGAUAGCGAACAAGUACCGUGAGGGAAAGAUGAAAAGAACUUUGGAAAGAGAGUUAAACAGUACGUGAAAUUGCUGAAAGGGAAACGCUUGAAGUCAGUCGCGUUGGCCGGGGAUCAGCCUUGCUUUUGCAUGGUGUACUUUCUGGUUGACGGGUCAGCAUCAAUUUUGACCGCUGGAAAAAGACCUGGGGAAUGUGGCAGCUUCGGCUGUGUUAUAGCCCCUAGUCGCAUACAGUGGUUGGGAUUGAGGAACUCAGCACGCCGCAAGGCCGGGUUUCGACCACGUUCGUGCUUAGGAUGCUGGCAUAAUGGCUUUAAGCGACCCGUCUUGAAACACGGACCAAGGAGUCUAACAUGCCUGCGAGUAUUUGGGUGGAAAACCCAAGUGCGUAAUGAAAGUGAAAGUUGAGAUCCCUGUCGUGGGGAGCAUCGACGCCCGGACCAGAACUUUUGGGACGGAUCCGCGGUGGAGCAUGUAUGUUGGGACCCGAAAGAUGGUGAACUAUGCCUGAAUAGGGUGAAGCCAGAGGAAACUCUGGUGGAGGCUCGUAGCGAUUCUGACGUGCAAAUCGAUCGUCGAAUUUGGGUAUAGG